RNAcentral lists this unclassified non-coding RNA (324 nucleotides) under soil metagenome. Its description in RNAcentral is "partial contains 5.8S ribosomal RNA, internal transcribed spacer 2, and large subunit ribosomal RNA". The stretch from base 1 to 120 matches the Rfam family "5.8S ribosomal RNA", at positions 35 to 154 of the family's 154-position model. The record is from RNAcentral.
GAUGAAGAACGCAGCGAAAUGCGAUAAGUAAUGUGAAUUGCAGAAUUCAGUGAAUCAUCGAAUCUUUGAACGCAUCUUGCGCUCCUUGGUAUUCCGAGGAGCAUGCCUGUUUGAGUGUCAUUUCAACCCUCAAGCCCCGCUUGGUGUUGGGCCCCGCCCGCUGUGGCCGGCCCUAAAGACAGUGGCGGCGCCGCCUGGCCCUCAGCGUAGUACAUCUCUCGCUCCAGGGUCCGGUGGCCGCCUGCCAGAACCCCCCAACUCUGUGGUUGACCUCGGAUCAGGUAGGGAUACCCGCUGAACUUAAGCAUAUCAAUAAGCGGAGGA